Molecule: non-coding RNA, 337 nt
Organism: Xyrichtys novacula (pearly razorfish)
Lineage: Eukaryota; Metazoa; Chordata; Actinopteri; Labriformes; Labridae
Source: the annotation of a GenBank genome assembly
CGGACACUUUGACAGCCCGUCUGAAGGCGACUGCAUAAAGUUUGAUAAAGAAUUUACAUCACCAGUUACAUCUAAGGUUUAUAAAACUGACUCUCCGACAGUUGCACUUAAGAACGAAUUUUUCAGCAACUAUCCUUCAUUGACAGGAGUGUUAGAACUCGGCUUUACUUUUGGGAGUCGAGAGGUGAGUGUUUCUCUCUUUAUGAUAAUAUUCAUUUGACUCUGAUGGUAUAAAAAAUGGACAGUUUCAACAUGAAACAAAUGACCCACUCAAAGCAUCUGUUUGUCUUUCCAGGUCACUAUUUAUCUUAUGUCCUUCAACACACAUGCAGGUAUG